RNAcentral lists this ribosomal RNA (107 nucleotides) under uncultured bacterium. Its description in RNAcentral is "partial 16S ribosomal RNA". It matches the Rfam family "Bacterial small subunit ribosomal RNA", at positions 1357 to 1482 of the family's 1533-position model. The record is from RNAcentral.
CCCCGGUGAAUAUGUUCCUGAGCCUUGUACACACCGCCCGUCAAGCCACGAAAGCUGGGGUACCCGAAGUCGCCACAAGCGCCCACGGUAAACCAGUGAUUGGGACU